This 412-nucleotide ribosomal RNA is filed under the name bacterium enrichment culture clone ALO1_GLFRUDD03GT7HB. Its description in RNAcentral is "bacterial SSU rRNA". It matches the Rfam family "Bacterial small subunit ribosomal RNA", at positions 9 to 420 of the family's 1533-position model. The record is from RNAcentral.
GAGUUUGAUCUUGGCUCAGAUUGAACGCUGGCGGCAUGCCUUACACAUGCAAGUCGAACGGCAGCACGGGAGCUUGCUCCUGGUGGCGAGUGGCGAACGGGUGAGUAAUGCAUCGGAACGUAUCCUGGAGUGGGGGAUAACGUAGCGAAAGUUACGCUAAUACCGCAUAUUCUGUGAGCAGGAAAGCGGGGGACCUUCGGGCCUCGCGCUCUUGGAGCGGCCGAUGUCGGAUUAGCUAGUUGGUGAGGUAAAGGCUCACCAAGGCGACGAUCCGUAGCAGGUCUGAGAGGAUGAUCUGCCACACUGGGACUGAGACACGGUCCAGACUCCUACGGGAGGCAGCAGUGGGGAAUUUUGGACAAUGGGGGCGAACCCUGAUCCAGCCAUGCCGCGUGAGUGAAGAAGGCCUCGG